AUUGAACGCUGGCGGCAUGCUUUACACAUGCAAGUCGAACGGAAACAGGCCGCAAGGUGCUGACGAGUGGCGAACGGGUGAGUAAUGCAUCGGAACGUGCCCAGUCGUGGGGGAUAACGCAGCGAAAGCUGCGCUAAUACCGUAUACGAACUAUGGAUGAAAGCGGGGGACCGUAACGCCUCGCCCGAUGGGAGCGGCCGAUGUCAGAUUAGGUAGUUGGUGGGGUACAGGCUCACCAAGCCGACGAUCUGUAGCUGGUCUGAGAGGACGACCAGCCACACUGGGACUGAGACACGGCCCAGACUCCUACGGGAGGCAGCAGUGGGGAAUUUUGGACAAUGGGCGCAAGCCUGAUCCAGCAAUGCCGCGUGCAGGAAGAAGGCCUUCGGGUUGUAAACUGCUUUUGUACGGAACGAAAAGGCUCUGGUUAAUACCUGGGGCUCAUGACGGUACCGUAAGAAUAAGCACCGGCUAACUACGUGCCAGCCGCCGCCGUAA
Molecule: ribosomal RNA, 498 nt
Filed under: uncultured bacterium
Lineage: Bacteria
Description: partial 16S ribosomal RNA
Rfam family: Bacterial small subunit ribosomal RNA
Source: RNAcentral